This is a non-coding RNA of Parcubacteria bacterium 33_209, 84 nucleotides long. NCBI's taxonomy places the organism in Bacteria, Candidatus Parcubacteria. The record is from Rfam.
GGGCGAGUGAUGGAAUUGGCAGACAUCUAUGCUUGAGGGGCAUAGGGGAUUAUUCCCGUGCGGGUUCAAGUCCCGCUUCGCCCA